Molecule: transfer RNA, 71 nt
Filed under: Megalops atlanticus (tarpon)
Lineage: Eukaryota; Metazoa; Chordata; Actinopteri; Elopiformes; Megalopidae
Rfam family: tRNA
About the family: Transfer RNA (tRNA) molecules are approximately 80 nucleotides in length. Their secondary structure includes four short double-helical elements and three loops (D, anti-codon, and T loops).
Source: Rfam by way of RNAcentral
GCAUUGGUGGUUCAGUGCUAGAAUUCUUGCCUGCCACGCGGGAGGCCCGGGUUCGAUUCCCGGACAAUGCA